Molecule: long non-coding RNA, 452 nt
Organism: Hyaena hyaena (striped hyena)
Lineage: Eukaryota; Metazoa; Chordata; Mammalia; Carnivora; Hyaenidae
Exons: 3
Source: RefSeq, a predicted model, not a curated record
GUAAACAUUUAAAAAAAGAAAAAAAGAAAGAAGUACGGCCUUCUCACCAUCCCACACCCCUGCUCACUAGGCCAUGAAACUCUGCUCUGUGUCAGCGGGGCUUCUGGGGGCACAGUGAGUUCCUGUCCCUCUGCGAUGCAGAGGUGCGUCCCUGCGGGGCUUGGCUUUACUUCCCUUGGAAGCAGGAUCAGUGUGUUACUGCAUCUGCAUCCUCAGUGGAAGCGAAAAUCCUGCCGCAUCACCGUCACAGAGAUAAGUACAAGCGUGCCUAAAUGGCAACCAUUCUAAGGAAAUCGUCUCGUGUUACCAGUGAUGGCUUUGGGCACACUUCCCCUUUUUGGUCUCUUCCAGGCAGGCUGUGCCUCUGGGCACGCCCCAUGGCUUCUUCAGGUCUGUCUGCUCAGCCAUCAGUCACAGGCUCAUGCGAUCUUCAGGAGCAAGACAAGCCGGGU